CAGGCCUAACACAUGCAAGUCGAGGGGUAACAAGAGGAAAGCUUGCUUUUCUUGUUGACGACCGGCGCACGGGUGAGUAACGCGUAUCCAACCUGCCUAUAACUAGGGAAUAACCUUGCGAAAGUAAGACUAAUACCCUAUGAUUUCCUUUGAUGACAUCAGAUUAGGAAUAAAGAUUUAUCGGUUAUAGAUGGGGAUGCGUCUGAUUAGCUUGUUGGCGGGGUAACGGCCCACCAAGGCAACGAUCAGUAGGGGUUCUGAGAGGAAGGUCCCCCACAUUGGAACUGAGACACGGUCCAAACUCCUACGGGAGGCAGCAGUGAGGAAUAUUGGUCAAUGGGCGAAAGCCUGAACCAGCCAAGUAGCGUGCAGGAUGACGGCCCUAUGGGUUGUAAACUGCUUUUAUACAGGAAUAAAGUUAGCCACGUGUGGUUAUUUGUAGGUACGUAGAAUAAGACCGG
Molecule: ribosomal RNA, 461 nt
Filed under: uncultured bacterium
Lineage: Bacteria
Description: bacterial SSU rRNA
Rfam family: Bacterial small subunit ribosomal RNA
Source: RNAcentral